Molecule: ribosomal RNA, 484 nt
Filed under: uncultured bacterium
Lineage: Bacteria
Description: partial 16S ribosomal RNA
Rfam family: Bacterial small subunit ribosomal RNA
Source: RNAcentral
AUUGAACGCUAGCGGGAUGCUUUACACAUGCAAGUCGAACGGCAGCGCGGACUUCGGUCUGGCGGCGAGUGGCGAACGGGUGAGUAAUGUAUCGGAACGUGCCCAGUAGCGGGGGAUAACUACGCGAAAGCGUAGCUAAUACCGCAUACGCCCUACGGGGGAAAGCAGGGGAUCGUAAGACCUUGCACUAUUGGAGCGGCCGAUAUCGGAUUAGCUAGUUGGUGGGGUAACGGCUCACCAAGGCGACGAUCCGUAGCUGGUUUGAGAGGACGAUCGGCCACACUGGGACUGAGACACGGCCCAGACUCCUACGGGAGGCAGCAGUGGGGAAUUUUGGACAAUGGGGGCAACCCUGAUCCAGCCAUCCCGCGUGUGCGAUGAAGGCCUUCGGGUUGUAAAGCACUUUUGGCAGGAAAGAAACGUCGCGGGCUAAUACCCCGUGGAACUGACGGUACCUGCAGAAUAAGCACCGGCUAACUACGUG